Molecule: long non-coding RNA, 668 nt
Filed under: Salmo salar (Atlantic salmon)
Lineage: Eukaryota; Metazoa; Chordata; Actinopteri; Salmoniformes; Salmonidae
Description: lncRNA (ENSSSAG00000094281.1)
Source: RNAcentral
CAUUCCACCUCCCAGCCCUCCUGAUCCAAUGCCCAUGGCGAUAGGGGGGGCUGCAGCCAGGAAGACUGGAGGGGGACCCUUCUCCUGCACCCACUGUGGUCGCAGAGGGCACACUGCCGGAGGAGCUCGCCCGGGAGUCCAGAGGGCAGGCAGAGCACUCCUUCGACAUCUCAGAACUUUCAUUCCAUGUUUAUCAUCUCAAGUAUUCGGGCCAACAACCUACAUUGAUGACAGGGCUGUUGCCAUUGAUGACAGGAACUGUGAUGGUUACGAGCCACAAACAUGCCUCAUUUUCCUUUUCCCACGCCUGGAAUGGCCCCACGUUGACAUCCCCGUGCAAGUGACUGAUUGAAGCUCCCACACACGGCAUUGUGUUUCUCCAUCUCUUUUCUGGGAAGCUGUUCUUGGAAACACUCUUUUCCGAGGUGAUAAUGUGGAGGCGCCCAGGUGGAGGAAAAGGAAGUAAUCAGCCAUUCACUAUCACAGCCGAGGGAUUCCUGAGAAAACCAGCAAACCAGGCUGUCGUCUUGGGAAACAGUGGAUGUAAAGAAUCUAGCUAAAGCAUAUACUGCAAAUUGAAUGUACAGUUACGUAAGCUUGCCUUGCCGUGCAAUGCUGCUGAAGUAACAUAGCUAGCUAACUAUUUACUUGCUUAUUGUGUAGUGGAG